CUUCUUCAGCUGCCUUCUGAUACCUUUGAGAAAGAGGAUGGAGAAAAAAAAACCACAGUUUUUAACUAGGACACGGAAUGCUCAUGAAGACAGCUGAAAUUUCAUUUCCACCUAGGAUUCUGUGCACUUACCAGACCUAUCAAAUAAAACCAAAGGCUGGAAAAAUAGUAGCAAAUAGUAUCUGAACAAUGCACAGUGGUAGACACAUUUUACAUUCAGCUCACAAUAACAACAUGCCUUGAUAAUUUUCAUUAGCUAAGCACUCUCAUUCUCAAAUAUAGACAGUUUACCUUGGAAUAGCUGUAUUGUUUCUCCCACCCAGCUGUCUGCUGUGCCCCUUUGCGGGAAUAACUCAGCUAUUUAUACAGCAGCUGCUGAACCGUAACAAAUUACAGCUUGGCAUACGCAGAGAAUCUACAUAAGUGCCAGUUUAUCUUACUAUGCUGGGUUGUAAACUGCACCAAUUCAGCAGUUGCUUCAGGAGCAGCUGAACUAUCCCAGCAGUGGAAACAGCAAUCACAGUCCUCUGAAGAUAAGCCUCCCUGGAUCAUGAAUCAAAGUCCUUUAAGAAGCUCUAGAAAACUCCCAGCAAUCUGCACGCUACACACAGCAAUCUGCGCUGCACUCCACAGCUAGGAGCACACAGACCACACUGAUCAGCCCAAGCUUCCAUAAUUUGGAUGAGACAUGCUGAGAAAGUAAGUUUAUGGUGGAAGAGAGAUCAAUAUUGGAAGAAUCAACAGAGACAUGGCGAUGAAAGUCCAGUACCACAGUGGAAAACAUAAACAAGGAUUGAAGAGUUCCAGGCAGCGCUCACGCCACAGGUGCAUUAAGACAAUUAGGACCGUUUUGGCAAAACCUCUU
Molecule: long non-coding RNA, 864 nt
Organism: Cygnus atratus (black swan)
Lineage: Eukaryota; Metazoa; Chordata; Aves; Anseriformes; Anatidae
Exons: 3
Source: RefSeq, a predicted model, not a curated record